GUGCAGCAGUCGCGAAAACUUCACAAUGUGCGAAAGCACGAUGAGGGAAUCCCAAGUGCUUGCACGUAAAGUGUAAGCUGUUUCUCUGUCUAAAACGCAGAGAGAGUAAGGGCUGGGUAAGACCGGGUGCCAGCCGCCGCGGUAAUACCUGCAGCUCGAGUGGUGACCGUUAUUAUUGGGCCUAAAACGUCCGUAGCCGGUUUAAUAAAUG
Molecule: ribosomal RNA, 211 nt
Filed under: uncultured microorganism
Description: partial 16S ribosomal RNA
Rfam family: Archaeal small subunit ribosomal RNA
Source: RNAcentral